CCUUAAGGUGGCACAUUCCUCUAGUCCCAGCUAUUUGGGAGGCUGAGGUAGGAGAAUGGCUUGAGCCCAGGAGUUAUGGGCUGUAGUGCACUAUGCUGACUGGGUUUCAGCACUAAGUUCAGCAUUAAUACAGUGACCUCCCAGGAGCACAGGACCACCUGUGCCUAAGGAAGGGCGAAAUGGCCUAGAUCUGAAAUGGAGCAAGUCAAAACUCUUUGUGCUGAUCAGUUGUGGAAUCAUGCCUGUGAAUAGCCACUGCAUUCUAGCCUGGGCAACAUAGUAAGACGGUGUCUCU
Molecule: signal recognition particle RNA, 295 nt
Filed under: Propithecus coquereli (Coquerel's sifaka)
Lineage: Eukaryota; Metazoa; Chordata; Mammalia; Primates; Indriidae
Description: Metazoan signal recognition particle RNA (ENSPCOG00000001943.1)
Rfam family: Metazoan signal recognition particle RNA
About the family: The signal recognition particle (SRP) is a universally conserved ribonucleoprotein. It is involved in the co-translational targeting of proteins to membranes.
Source: RNAcentral